GACGAACGCUGGCGGCGUGCUUAACACAUGCAAGUCGAGCGGUAAGGCCCCUUUGGGGGUACACGAGCGGCGAACGGGUGAGUAACACGUGGGUGACCUGCCCUCAGCUCUGGGAUAAGCCUGGGAAACUGGGUCUAAUACCGGAUAUGACUCCAUGACGCAUGUCGUGGGGUGGAAAGCCUUGUGCGGCUGGGGAUGGGCCCGCGGCCUAUCAGCUUGUUGGUGGGGUGAUGGCCUACCAAGGCGACGACGGGUAGCCGGCCUGAGAGGGCGACCGGCCACACUGGGACUGAGACACGGCCCAGACUCCUACGGGAGGCAGCAGUGGGGAAUCUUGCGCAAUGGGCGAAAGCCUGACGCAGCGACGCCGCGUGAGGGAUGACGGCC
This 387-nucleotide ribosomal RNA is filed under the name uncultured bacterium. Its description in RNAcentral is "bacterial SSU rRNA". It matches the Rfam family "Bacterial small subunit ribosomal RNA", at positions 28 to 416 of the family's 1533-position model. The record is from RNAcentral.